This 66-nucleotide transfer RNA is filed under the name Cryptocercus zagunaoensis. RNAcentral describes it as "tRNA-Leu". It matches the Rfam family "tRNA". From Rfam's summary of the family: Transfer RNA (tRNA) molecules are approximately 80 nucleotides in length. Lineage: Eukaryota; Metazoa; Arthropoda; Insecta; Blattodea; Cryptocercidae. The record is from RNAcentral.
UUUAAUAUGGCAGAUAAGUGCAUUGGAUUUAAGACCCAAAUAUAAAGUUUAAAUCUUUUAUUAGAA